Molecule: ribosomal RNA, 495 nt
Filed under: uncultured bacterium
Lineage: Bacteria
Description: partial 16S ribosomal RNA
Rfam family: Bacterial small subunit ribosomal RNA
Source: RNAcentral
GACGAACGCUGGCGGCGUGCCUAAUACAUGCAAGUAGAACGCUGAAGGAGGAGCUUGCUUCUCUGGAUGAGUUGCGAACGGGUGAGUAACGCGUAGGUAACCUGCCUGGUAGCGGGGGAUAACUAUUGGAAACGAUAGCUAAUACCGCAUAAUAGUAGAUGUUGCAUGACAUUUGCUUAAAAGUUUCAAUUGCAUCACUACCAGAUGGACCUGCGUAGUAUUAGCUAGUUGGUGGGGUAACGGCUCACCAAGGCGACGAUACAUAGUCGACCUGAGAGGGGGAGCGGCCACACUGGGACUGAGACACGGCCCAGACUCCUACGGGAGGCAGCAGUAGGGAAUCUUCAGCAAUGGACGGAGGUCAGACCACGCAACGCCGCGUGAGUGAAGAAGGAUUUCGGGUCGGAAAGGUCUGUUGUCAGAGAAGAACGAGUGUGAGAGUGGAAAGUUCACACAGUGACGGUAUCUUACCAGAAAGGGACGGCUAACUACGUG